UACGUAGGUGGCAAGCGUUAUCCGGAAUUAUUGGGCGUAAAGCGCGCGCAGGUGGUUUCUUAAGUCUGAUGUGAAAGCCCACGGCUCAACCGUGGAGGGUCAUUGGAAACUGGGAGACUUGAGUGCAGAAGAGGAAAGUGGAAUUCCAUGUGUAGCGGUGAAAUGCGUAGAUAUUGGGAGGAACACCGGUGGCGAAGGCGGCUACCUGGACCGGAUCUGACGCUGAUGCGCGAAAGCGUGGGGAGCAAACAGG
This 253-nucleotide ribosomal RNA is filed under the name uncultured bacterium. Its description in RNAcentral is "partial 16S ribosomal RNA". It matches the Rfam family "Bacterial small subunit ribosomal RNA", at positions 524 to 776 of the family's 1533-position model. The record is from RNAcentral.